GGAAGGGGUAGUGUGGGGCUGAUAAAGGUGACCCAGGACCUGUGGCUUCCUUUGACUUCCGAAGUUGACUGACAAAGAAGAUCAGGUGAAUUAGACUGGUGGUACCUAAAUGAUACUGGACAUCUGUGGUUUUGUUUUUGAAUUGCAUCUGGAAUGCUGCAGUCACCAGAGACAGCUUUGUGGGCUGCAGCAAGGAACUGUACACAGAAAGAGGGAUGAGUCCUUAGCCCUAAAGCAGCUUCUGCCUUAAGGAUAUCUGAAGUGCUGGGUAAUUCGGAUCCAUGUCUCAUAAUCACAUUUGGUUGGAUAUCAUCUCUUAAUUCUACCAUAAAUGUGUGAGGAACCUACUUGUGUUUAGAGUAUGGAGAUUAAAAUUAAAACUGUUUUCUCUGUUGUGUGGAUGUCAGUUUAACAAACUAACAAGGCACAGACAACUAUCAACUGAGAUGUCGAAUAAGGCAGUCAUUACAGCAGCUGGAAAGGCUGCUAUUCACUGCUGAAGGAAAUCCUUGCUUAGUCUGUGUCUGCAGGUAACAAUGAAUCUAUUAAAAUAAACUCUGGA
RNAcentral lists this long non-coding RNA (562 nucleotides) under Anser brachyrhynchus (Pink-footed goose). Its description in RNAcentral is "lncRNA (ENSABRG00000006272.1)". The record is from RNAcentral. Lineage: Eukaryota; Metazoa; Chordata; Aves; Anseriformes; Anatidae.